UCCACCGAUCAAUUUGAGCUAUAGUUGAUUGUGUGAAGAGUUCUUCCUAUCCCCAUUUUCAAGUUACUAUUCAUCAAGGGAAAAAAAUUGAGUUUUGGAUGGAGCUUUGCUUAGAGGUUGCUCUCUAGGCUUUGUACAAGUGUUUAGAGGUGUACCUAGGGACUGAAAAGGAUCGGAAUCUCUUGAAGAUAUAUAAGUAACUUGUGCCACAAGUAAGCGGAUUGAAAAAAAAACUUCAAGAGGUGUCCAGAUUCCCGGUGAGUCCUCACUAGGCAGGGACGCGACCCGUGAUUGAGGCGUUGGGACAGAUCAGUUUUUGAGUAGCUGUAGGCUACUAACCUUUUGGAGUGCAUUUAUGU
Long non-coding RNA from Gastrolobium bilobum, 359 nucleotides. RefSeq lists it as uncharacterized. The record is from RefSeq and is a predicted model, not a curated record. Lineage: Eukaryota; Viridiplantae; Streptophyta; Magnoliopsida; Fabales; Fabaceae. The transcript has 3 exons.